UGGAAACUGAUAAUUAUGAUCUUAUUUAUUUUAAAUGACUGGUUAAAGCUGCAUUAUAACUUAUCAAUUAGAUGUACGGACAUUACGCUAACACCAAGAGCAGGCAUCCAUACACCAGGUCAGAAUCCUAAGUGCAUUUAGUGAAAGAGUGAGAUAAAUGUGAUACAAGCACUUACAAAGACCUGCCAAAAUGCAGGCUAAGGAUAGGAACAAUGAAGCAAAAAAAUCCAUUGUCCAUACUAAUGUGACAAUUGUAGUUUGUGAUACAAAACCAGCUGAAGGCUGUGUUGUUAAAGGAUAGCUGCCUGUAGCAAGCUGGAAGGUUUGAAGAUGAAAUGGACAUCAAGCUAUGGCAUUAAUGGACUGCAAUGCUACAGAAAUGAAGUUCCUUUGGCUGGAAUUCAGCAGCUCCCUUUGUCAUCGUUGACCAUGAAUGGAUGAACUUCAUGUAGAUGAUGCCCAUUUCCCAUCUUUGAAUCAAACAUUAAUACCAUUUGACAGUAAUAAAUAACAUUUAUCACAAUAGGGAUCUACUAAUGAUUUUCCCACUAAGCUGGCUCAUCAGAACCUAUCAGCUGACAACUGCAUAAAUGAGAUUAGCAUAACAGCUGCCUAUGACAAAUGUAUCUAAAUCAUUUUAAUGCCAGCUAGCUCUUUGAUCUCCCUAUCACGUUGUUGCCAAAACUAAAUCCAUUUCUUCAAGAUACAUGUUGUUUAUUACAGAUACAUGUGUAUAUUCCACACCAUUAUGUACUCCAGAGAUUUCAGUAAUUAAAAGAAUUAAAAAUACUGAUUGGAUACUGCCACUAUAAUGUAAACUUGCAACUCUGCACUUCAGAACAGCAUUCCACUGCCUACUUAGUCCCCUCCUCCUUCUCCAGAUUGCAGAAUUCAGUGUUUAAUAGCUGCAUGUUUCUCUGACACAAAAUACAUGUUUUAACGUAAAUACAUGUAUUAACUUCUCUUUCUGAGUAUCCCUUACAGCGGCAUCAUUUUCAUACAAUUUAGACUAAUUCCCAGUAAUAUAGGAGUUGGCUCCAGGCAAAUAUUGAAGCAACGAGUCAUUGCGUGUGUUUGUAUGAAUGCAAGACUGACAAAGAAAAUCUCACUGGUAGUGCAGCAUUCAUGUUGUGACUGUUAUUAAAGGGUUGCCUAUGAGAUUGUCAUACAAUCUCAUGACAACAGACUUCAGACAGACCAAUGACAAUAGCACUUCCAUAACCACACUUCUAAAAG
Molecule: long non-coding RNA, 1236 nt
Filed under: Gallus gallus (chicken)
Lineage: Eukaryota; Metazoa; Chordata; Aves; Galliformes; Phasianidae
Description: lncRNA (ENSGALG00010025616.1)
Source: RNAcentral